This 262-nucleotide long non-coding RNA is filed under the name Homo sapiens (human). RNAcentral describes it as "non-protein coding lnc-INHBA-4:1". Lineage: Eukaryota; Metazoa; Chordata; Mammalia; Primates; Hominidae. The record is from RNAcentral.
CUGUGGAAUGUUGUUUAGAAUGGACCUUUUAAGAGGGAUUUAGUAGAUUUCUGCUGAUUGUUAAGAGAUGCUCCUGCCAAACCGUCACCCUUGUGGCAUUUUUAGAAAAGUGACUGUAUUUUUCUAUAGGAAAUCUGGGAAUAUUUUACUUUGUGUCAGUUCUCUAUCUGUUCUGUUUGAGGUACCUUUGCUCUUUAAUGCAGGGAAGGGACCCAGCUGAUAUAACAAGCAGGUACUCCCAAGCCUUAAUGCCUAGGGUAAG